This 430-nucleotide ribosomal RNA is filed under the name Bacillota bacterium. RNAcentral's name for it is "Firmicutes bacterium partial 16S ribosomal RNA". It matches the Rfam family "Bacterial small subunit ribosomal RNA", at positions 355 to 776 of the family's 1533-position model. The record is from RNAcentral. Lineage: Bacteria; Bacillati; Bacillota.
UGGGGAAUAUUGGACAAUGGGCGCAAGCCUGAUCCAGCCAUGCCGCGUGUGUGAAGAAGGCCUUUUGGUUGUAGAGCACUUUAAGCGAGGAGGAGGCUACUUGGAUUAAUACUCUAGGAUAGUGGACGUUACUCGCAGAAUAAGCACCGGCUAACUCUGUGCCAGCAGCCGCGGUAAUACAGAGGGUGCGAGCGUUAAUCGGAUUUACUGGGCGUAAAGCGUGCGUAGGCGGCUUUUUAAGUCGGAUGUGAAAUCCCUGAGCUUAACUUAGGAAUUGCAUUCGAUACUGGGAAGCUAGAGUAUGGGAGAGGAUGGUAGAAUUCCAGGUGUAGCGGUGAAAUGCGUAGAGAUCUGGAGGAAUACCGAUGGCGAAGGCAGCCAUCUGGCCUAAUACUGACGCUGAGGUACGAAAGCAUGGGGAGCAAACAGG